This 137-nucleotide ribosomal RNA is filed under the name uncultured bacterium. RNAcentral's name for it is "partial 16S ribosomal RNA". It matches the Rfam family "Bacterial small subunit ribosomal RNA", at positions 355 to 509 of the family's 1533-position model. The record is from RNAcentral.
UAGGGAAUAUUGGACAAUGGGCGAAAGCCUGAUCCAGCAAUGCCGCGUGAGUGAUGAAGGCCUUAGGGUUGUAAAGCUCUUUUACCCGGGAUGAUAAUGACAGUACCGGGAGAAUAAGCCCCGGCUAACUCCGUGCC